This 74-nucleotide transfer RNA is filed under the name compost metagenome. Its description in RNAcentral is "tRNA-Ile". It matches the Rfam family "tRNA". Rfam says of the family: Transfer RNA (tRNA) molecules are approximately 80 nucleotides in length. Their secondary structure includes four short double-helical elements and three loops (D, anti-codon, and T loops). Further hydrogen bonds mediate the characteristic L-shaped molecular structure. tRNAs have two regions of fundamental functional importance: the anti-codon, which is responsible for specific mRNA codon recognition, and the 3' end, to which the tRNAs corresponding amino acid is attached (by aminoacyl-tRNA synthetases). tRNAs cope with the degeneracy of the genetic code in two manners: having more than one tRNA (with a specific anti-codon) for a particular amino acid; and 'wobble' base-pairing, i.e. permitting non-standard base-pairing at the 3rd anti-codon position. The record is from RNAcentral.
AGUCGUUUAGCUCAGUUGGUAGAGCGCACCCCUGAUAAGGGUGAGGUCACAGGUUCAAGCCCCGUAAUGACUAC